This 482-nucleotide ribosomal RNA is filed under the name uncultured bacterium. RNAcentral describes it as "bacterial SSU rRNA". It matches the Rfam family "Bacterial small subunit ribosomal RNA", at positions 29 to 506 of the family's 1533-position model. The record is from RNAcentral.
AUUAACGCUGGCAGAGUGCAUAACACAUGCAAGUCGAGCGGGACUACUUGAGAUUACAUCAAUUGGUAGUUUAGCGGCAGACGAGUGAGUAACACGUAAGCAACCUGCCCCAGAAUGGCGAACAACCAGCCGAAAGGUUGGCUAAUACGCCGUACGAUCCCGGGAGGGCAUCUUCUUGGGAUGAAAGGCCCGCAAGGGUCGUUCUGGGUGGGGCUUGCGACCCAUCAGCUAGUUGGCGGUGUAACGGACCACCAAGGCUAUGACGGGUACCCGGCCUGAAAGGGCGGACGGGCACGAAGGCACUGAGACACGGGCCUUACUCCUACGGGAGGCAGCAGUGGGGAAUUUUGGACAAUGGGGGAAACCCUGAUCCAGCAACUCUGCGUGAGGGACGAAGCCUUUCGGGGCGUAAACCUCUUUUAUCUGGGACGAAAGCAGCAAUGUUUGACGGUACCAGGUGAAUAAGCCACGGCUAACUAUGU